UGGGGAAUAUUGGACAAUGGGCGAAAGCCUGAUCCAGCCAUGCCGCGUGUGUGAAGAAGGUCUUCGGAUUGUAAAGCACUUUAAGUUGGGAGGAAGGGCAGUAAGUUAAUACCUUGCUGUUUUGAUGUUACCGACAGAAUAAGCACCGGCUAACUCUGUGCCAG
RNAcentral lists this ribosomal RNA (164 nucleotides) under uncultured bacterium. Its description in RNAcentral is "partial 16S rRNA". It matches the Rfam family "Bacterial small subunit ribosomal RNA", at positions 355 to 511 of the family's 1533-position model. The record is from RNAcentral.